RNAcentral lists this non-coding RNA (39 nucleotides) under Ctenophora environmental sample. The record is from RNAcentral. Lineage: Eukaryota; Metazoa; Ctenophora.
GAACAAAAACACAAACGAACCAUGUCCACCGAAUUAAAC